AACAACAAUUGAAGUUCGAUUUCGGCUCGACAUUGUUGAAUUUUUGAAGUCAAUUCCACCUAUGUACUUGGAUGAAAACAAGUCUUUGAUUCUGAAGAUUGUGGAAAGCCAGAAUUCGGGGAAGAUUAAUGAGUGUGCUGAGUGGUAUGCAAAACGAUUUCUACAUCCUGACAUUGUGGCACCAUAUGAUUACAUAUUUAUCUGGGACGAAGAUUUGGGAGUGGAUAAUUUUGAUUCUGAAAGUUAGCACUCUUUCUGCAUCAUAUCCUCUAAUGUCUUGAGCUAUUCAGUACAGAACUUUUGUCAUUUUUUUUUAUUGAAUUUUCAGAUACGUUGAUUUGGUUAAGAAACAUGGUUUGGAAAUUUCACAGCCUGGUGUGGAUCCUAAUAGUCCGUUUACAUGGCAGAU
Chenopodium quinoa (quinoa) is the source of this 409-nucleotide long non-coding RNA. RefSeq lists it as uncharacterized. The record is from RefSeq and is a predicted model, not a curated record. The transcript has 3 exons. NCBI's taxonomy places the organism in Eukaryota, Viridiplantae, Streptophyta, Magnoliopsida, Caryophyllales, Amaranthaceae.